UACGGAGGGUGCGAGCGUUGUUCGGAAUCACUGGGCUUAAAGCGCGUGUAGGCGGGCCGCCACGUCAGUUGCUGAAAUCCCCCGGCUCAACCGGGGAAGUGGCGCUGAUACGAGCGGCCUGGAGGGAGGUAGGGGGGGCUGGAACUUCCGGUGGAGCGGUGAAAUGCGUUGAGAUCGGAAGGAACGCCCGUGGCGAAAGCGAGCCCCUGGACCUUUUCUGACGCUGAGACGCGAAAGCUAGGGGAGCGAACGGG
Molecule: ribosomal RNA, 254 nt
Filed under: uncultured bacterium
Lineage: Bacteria
Description: partial 16S ribosomal RNA
Rfam family: Bacterial small subunit ribosomal RNA
Source: RNAcentral